CGGGCGGAGCCUCAGCCCCGGGGUCUCUGGCCCGGCUGGUGAGUGUCCCCCGACGCACCGGAAAGCGAGACACUGAACCCCGGAUAUUGGGGUUGAGCUUCCUGGAUCAGACGCUGCUGCCUGCAUUGUGGUCUGGGAGCCCAGACUGAGCAGCUGCUGCUCCCCGGUGGGGUCUGGGCUUGGGAGUGACUUGGGGCGAAGCUUCCUCUGUGCCCAGGCAAGGUGAGGACUUUCCCCAGCUGUAACUAGCUCCAUGGGCCAGCCCGAGGCUCUGCCCACACCAACAUCCGAGACAGAUACUCCAGGGGCCGGUGACGUUCGAGGAGGUGGCUGUGUAUUUCACCAG
Molecule: long non-coding RNA, 346 nt
Organism: Mauremys reevesii (Reeves's turtle)
Lineage: Eukaryota; Metazoa; Chordata; Testudines; Geoemydidae
Exons: 3
Source: RefSeq, a predicted model, not a curated record